Mytilus trossulus (common blue mussel) is the source of this 405-nucleotide long non-coding RNA. RefSeq lists it as uncharacterized. The transcript is spliced from 3 exons. NCBI's taxonomy places the organism in Eukaryota, Metazoa, Mollusca, Bivalvia, Mytilida, Mytilidae. The record is from RefSeq and is a predicted model, not a curated record.
CAGUAAAUACAAGUGUAAAAAUUGGGUUGUUUACUUCCGGUGAUGAUUAUUUUCUUAUAUGCAAUGAAAUGUAGUGUGAAAUUUUCACUGUAUCACUGGAAAGGAUUAAACUUUACACAUGCAAAGUAUUUCUUUGGUUGAAAUAAAGUGUUAACCAUGUUCUGAAGAGCAUUCUGUUGAAAAAUCUUAUAUGUGAAUUGGUCUGCAGAUGACACUUCAGCAUUAAAACAAAAGAUAUCAAGUUUUGAUGAAAAAGGAAGGAAGGAGGAAAAAUGGACCAAAACAGACCAAAACAGACCUUCAAAUGAACUCUAAAAGGUGCAAUAAAAUUGUUUAUCAUCUUAAAGUUGUCUUUUGUAUUCUAUUUAAUUGUUUGAAUGCAUAGAUCAUGAGUUUAUGAUCAGA